This is a small nuclear RNA of Cercocebus atys (sooty mangabey), 63 nucleotides long. Its record names the gene U7. It matches the Rfam family "U7 small nuclear RNA". From Rfam's summary of the family: Animal histone pre-mRNAs are spliced by a different mechanism than nuclear pre-mRNAs and self-splicing introns. This processing involves the U7 snRNP, which contains only one RNA species: U7. Lineage: Eukaryota; Metazoa; Chordata; Mammalia; Primates; Cercopithecidae. The record is from Ensembl.
AAGUGUUAUAGCUCCUUUAGAAUUUGUCUAGUGGGCUUUCUGGGUUUUUACCAGAAAGUCCUU